CCUACGGGUGGCAGCAGUGGGGAAUAUUGCACAAUGGGGGAAACCCUGAUGCAGCGACGCCGCGUGAGUGAAGAAGUAUUUCGGUAUGUAAAGCUCUAUCAGCAGGGGAGAAAAUGACGGUACCUGAUUAAGAAGCCCCGGCUAACUACGUGCCAGCAGCCGCGGUAAUACGUAGGGGGCAAGCGUUAUCCGGAUUUACUGGGUGUAAAGGGGGCGUAGACGGCAGCGCAAGUCUGAAGUGAAAUGCCGGGGCUUAACCCCGGAACUGCUUUGGAAACUGGUGGGCUUGAGUAUCGGAGAGGCAGGCGGAAUUCCUAGUGUAGCGGUGAAAUGCGUAGAUAUUAGGAGGAACACCAGUGGCGAAGGCGGCCUGCUGGACGACAACUGACGGUGAGGCGCGAAAGCGUGGGGAGCAAACAGGAUUAGAUACCCUGGUAGUC
Molecule: ribosomal RNA, 440 nt
Filed under: uncultured bacterium
Lineage: Bacteria
Description: partial 16S ribosomal RNA
Rfam family: Bacterial small subunit ribosomal RNA
Source: RNAcentral